Molecule: long non-coding RNA, 843 nt
Filed under: Betta splendens (Siamese fighting fish)
Lineage: Eukaryota; Metazoa; Chordata; Actinopteri; Anabantiformes; Osphronemidae
Description: lncRNA (ENSBSLG00000015572.1)
Source: RNAcentral
AUGACAGCCAGUAAAAAUCAAAUCCCAAAUCCAAGUUGUAUUAUAGCAAGCUCUCCUUUUUCAUUCUCCUGUAGCCACUGUUACUCUCUCAUUUGUCUUUCUCAUUUCCCCUCUCAGGAGGACUGCCAACCGUGUCUCCCUGGCUACUAUUGUGCUGCUGUGGGCUCGUCAGAGCCUUCGGGAAAAUGCUGGGAAGGUUUCUUCUGUUCCGGCAGAGCAGAUCGCCCCGACCCCCCUUUCACGGACGUCCGUGGAGGACCGUGCCCAAAAGGUUAUUACUGCUCCGAGGGCUCUGCGGCUCCGCGGCCGUGCCCCCCGGGAACCGUCGGCGCAGAAGACGGCCGAGCCAGCUGUAACUCCUGUCCCCGGGGCUUUUAUUGUCCCGGCCACAGUAAUGGCUCUCUCCUGGGGAGCUAUGAAUGUCCAGUGGGUCAUUACUGUCCGUCUGGGACUGGGUCGAAACACCAGUACCCAUGUCCCGCUGGAUCCAUCAACCCACACGUGCGGAUGACCAAGCCCCAGGACUGCUCACCGUGCCCUUCAGGCUCGUUCUGCUCGUCCCCUGGGAACGCUGUUGCAUCAGGCCCGUGCGGCGCAGGUUACUACUGCCUCUCUGGAGCCCGCUCACCUACACCGGAGGACGGAGGUGCAACGGGCGACAGGUGCCCCGAAGGUCAUUACUGCCCCCGGGGCUCCUCGGCACCGCUCCCCUGCCCCACUGGACGCUACAGCAGCCAAACCGGGACCAGUCACGCCUCCGACUGCCUGCCUUGUCCUCCGGGUUGGUUCCCAUCAGCGCAACUCAACACGUGGCUGUUUAAUUAUCAGUCUUGUAUCUAUUAA